GAUGAACGCUGGCGGCGUGCCUAAUACAUGCAAGUCGAGCGAACAGACGAGGAGUUUGCUCCUCUGACGUUAGCGGCGGACGGGUGAGUAACACGUGGAUAACCUACCUAUAAGACUGGGAUAACUUCGGGAAACCGGAGCUAAUACCGGAUAAUAUAUUGAACCGCAUGGUUCAAUAGUGAAAGACGGUUUUGCUGUCACUUAUAGAUGGAUCCGCGCCGCAUUAGCUAGUUGGUAAGGUAACGGCUUACCAAGGCAACGACCCGUAGCCGACCUGAGAGGGUGAUCGGCCACACUGGAACUGAGACACGGUCCAGACUCCUACGGGAGGCAGCAGUAGGGAAUCUUCCGCAAUGGGCGAAAGCCUGACGGAGCAACGCCGCGUGAGUGAUGAAGGUCUUCGGAUCGUAAAACUCUGUUAUUAGGGAAGAACAAAUGUGUAAGUAACUAUGCACGUCUUGACGGUACCUAAUCAGAAAGCCACGGCUAACUACGUG
Molecule: ribosomal RNA, 497 nt
Filed under: uncultured bacterium
Lineage: Bacteria
Description: partial 16S ribosomal RNA
Rfam family: Bacterial small subunit ribosomal RNA
Source: RNAcentral